This is a long non-coding RNA of Calidris pugnax (ruff), 673 nucleotides long. RefSeq lists it as uncharacterized. The record is from RefSeq and is a predicted model, not a curated record. NCBI's taxonomy places the organism in Eukaryota, Metazoa, Chordata, Aves, Charadriiformes, Scolopacidae. The transcript has 3 exons.
CCCCGCACAGCCCGGGCCGGCCGAGGACGUGUGCACGCCCAGAUCCGCUCGGUGAAGCAGCACAGAUCCGCGGGGCCGAGCGGGUAUGUGCGUGAGGAGGAGGAGGUGGUGGUGUAAAAGGAGCUGCGAGCACAAACCAGAUUUGCGGGGAGUAAUUUAACUCCGGUGUUUGUUGUUUUUCGGGGGUUUGGUCUUUUCCUUCUCUUUCUAUCUCUUUUUUUCUGCUCAGGAUUUAAAUGUCACUCAAAGCAUCCCCAAAUCAGCUUUCUGCUCGUCUCCUGUUUCUUCCGAGGCAUUAAUUGGAUCACACGCUGCAUUUGAAGAGCUUGGGUGUUUUACCCACGAAGGAAAUUUGCUCCAUCUCCAGCAGCAACCACUGCUCCUUUUGAUGUUGUGGUACGCCGUGCGCAUGCGCUUCACAUUAGAAUUACUGCACUGGCCAGAAUAAGUUGGAUCUCUUCUUCUCUUCACUGAAACCCUAAAUCAUAUCAAAAGCUAAAGGGAUGCUGAGAGUCCGGAAAAAGGGUUACUUCGGGAUUUGGUCAUUCCCUUUAAUAAUAGCCGUGGUGUGUGCACAGAGUGUCAAUGACCCUAGUAAUAUGUCACUGGUAAAAGAGACCGUGGAUAGACUGCUUAAGGGCUAUGACAUUCGCUUGAGGCCAGAUUUUGGAGG